This 229-nucleotide ribosomal RNA is filed under the name uncultured bacterium. RNAcentral describes it as "partial 16S ribosomal RNA". It matches the Rfam family "Bacterial small subunit ribosomal RNA", at positions 118 to 347 of the family's 1533-position model. The record is from RNAcentral.
UGGGCAACCUGCCCCAGACACAGGGAUAACCCCGGGAAACCGGGGCUAAUACCGGAUACUCCGGUCGAACCGCAUGGCUCGAUCGGGAAAGCUCCGACGGUCUGGGAUGGGCCCGCGGCCUAUCAGCUUGUUGGUGGGGUAACGGCUCACCAAGGCAACGACGGGUAGCUGGUCUGAGAGGAUGGCCAGCCACAUUGGGACUUAGACACGGCCCAGACUCCUACGGGAG